Pelobates cultripes (western spadefoot toad) is the source of this 1526-nucleotide non-coding RNA. The record is from the annotation of a GenBank genome assembly. NCBI's taxonomy places the organism in Eukaryota, Metazoa, Chordata, Amphibia, Anura, Pelobatidae.
CAUAGAUUAGCAAGUAUUUUGGGAAGGUAUAGUUACAAUUGAAUGACUUGUAAUUUGAGUUGAAAUUGAGAAUAUUUCUUCUGAUAGGCCUAUCUUUAGUUUGUGGCUUAUCACAUACCCCAGUUUUAUUUAUUGCAAUGAAAGUGUAUAUGUUUGAAACGUAGACACCUCAAGGUAUUGUAUAUGGAGUGCUUUGAUGCAACCAUUUUAGCCCAAAAAAUUGGAGAACGUGUGUGGUGGUAAUUUUUCAGUUUUCAUUUUUACACACACUGCUUUUUGGCUGAUUUAGGAGUGCCUGUUGUUGGUUAUUGCAAGAAAACACUCCAGGUUGUUUUCUGCAAAGCCUCCUGAGUACACCUAUGGACCAGUGUGUGGGGCAAUCAGGACAGUAAUACUGUAUCUUUUCUCUGUCCCCUCUUAAAAAAGACUCUGCAUCUUUUCUGGGGAUUCUGCUUUGCCGCAGGGGGGGGAUUUUAAAAAUAAAAUGUGCAGCCCCAACUCUGCUCUCUCCCAUCACCGCCCGGAGAGCAGUGCAUCAUGUUACAAAAUCCCCGAAAUGUUCUGGGACUGAAACUGUAAAAAAGCAAAUUGCAUUCCAGGGUUUGCUUUUGUGCAUAGCGAAAAAACAUUGUGGGUUGCAUUCUGCAUUAAGUAGAUUGCAACCUUUUUGUACCAGGCACUUGUCUUCCGUAUAAUUAGGUAGGGCUGCAGCAACUGAUCUGCCAGAUCAACCCCACCCAUAUGCCAGUUAUAGACCUUGAUGCACACUGGCUUCCUUGUGCACUCAGCUCUGCCACGUACAGAGACCUCCACAGUCCCCUCAGUGUGGAUGGUGGUAAGAAGGUAUACAUCCUUCUAGUCUCUGUACUUAACUGCGAACAGCUCCUCUUGGUGCAAAGCUGAGCUCUCCCCCCUUAGUAGCUGGGUACGUGCAAGUUGUGCUUGCGGCACAAAGGGACACUUGUAUAAAAAUUGUCCGUAUACAACUGGUAUCCUUUGUUCAUCAGGGGGAAUAUCAGGUACCAGACAAUCUUGCCACUGGUUCCUAUAUGUUCUGGGCAACCUGGAGGGUCAAGGUAUGUAUCCUUUCCCUCGUACACCUGGAAGGCCUGAGUAUACCCAAUCUCGCUAUCACAGAGCUUAUACACCUUUACACCUUUACACCAUACCUGGAGUGCUUGGAAGGAAUAUACUGCUUGAAUACCAGCCUUCCCUUAUACUUCAUCAGGGAUUCAUCCACGCAUAUAUUCCUUCCAGGUGUAUAAGCCUCUGCAAACUUGGCAGCGAAGUGGGUAAUCAGGGGGCGGAUUUUAUACAGGUUGUCAGGGAUUCAUCCACGCAUAUAUUCCUUCCAGGUGUAUAAGCCUCUGCAAACUUGGUAGCGAAGUGGGUAAUCAGGGGGCGGAUUUUAUACAGGUUGUCAAACUUGGGGAUGCUCCCUAGGGGGCAUAGGGUGUUGUUGCUGAAGUGCAUGAAAUGUAGAAUAAUUUCAUAAUUCUUCCUAGAUAUACACUGGGAGUAAAUGG